Molecule: long non-coding RNA, 1363 nt
Organism: Vespa velutina
Lineage: Eukaryota; Metazoa; Arthropoda; Insecta; Hymenoptera; Vespidae
Exons: 2
Source: RefSeq, a predicted model, not a curated record
AGAGAGACACACACACACACACAGAGGGAGAGAGAGGAGGAGGGAGAGAGAGAUAGGGAGAGGGGGAAUUCUUUACAAUACGAAUUGAAAUUUAUAAAAAUGUUCAAAGUCUUAAAUAUAAUCGGCUCUCGUAUCGUUCAUCGUAUGUUAUAUAAUUAAAUAAUGAUCGUAAUGUCGGUCGCUUCAAUUUAUCUGAAUCAAUUGGAUGAUGCAAAUUAAAAUAUUGUUGGUUUAGAUUUUGCGUUCGAAUUAGAAGAAAAAAGUGAUAAAAAAGAAAUUAAGAAAAAAAAAAAAAAAAAAAAAAAAAAAAAAAAAAAAAAAAUAAGAAAAACGAUUGAAUGAACGAACGAACGGAACAAACGAACUGAACGAACGAAACGAUGAAAAGUUAUAAAAGUAUAUAGGUUUUUAACGAGACGAUCAAAAACGAGAAAGGAGAACUAACAACGCGCUUUACUAGUUUUCUUCGUGUUACUGACUAUCGGGAAGUAUAAAACGCUUAUCAAUGUCUACAUUUGUGAAGGCCAAGUUAACUUUGUAGAUAUUUAAAAGCUCUCACGUCUUAUAUCAUGCGUAUUUUAAGACGUAUACCUCGAUAUCGCGUGAUACCCUCCAAUGCAAACGCAGGCUUAUGUCCGACGUAUUUUCAUGUCCUAAGAAAAUGAUUGAUACCUACGUAUAUGUAUAUGUAUAUGUACAUGUCACAUUCUCGUUGGAAUAUAAAAGUCGAUAGGGAGAGAAAGAGAGAAAGAGAGAGAGAGAGAGAGAGAGAGAGACAGACAGAAGGAGGGAGAGAAGGGGAAGAGAGAAGAAAAAAGAGGAGGAAACUGUCUGUCUCUCCAUCUUUAAAAACAAGUCGACGCACGAGAAGAAGGAAGAGGAAGAAGGAAAACUUGGUUGGAAUGUCAAACGUACGUGCGAUAAAAAAAAAGGGAGAGGAGAGCGGACAGAUAAAAGGAAGAAAGAAAGGAAGAAAAGAAAAAAAAAGAAAAAAGAAAAAGGGAAAGAAGAGAGGAUAGAGAGAGGGGAAGAAAAAAUAAAAAAGAGAAAAAAGAAAGAAGGAAGGAAAGAAAGAAAAGAAGAGACAAGAAAAAGAAAAAAGUCUCGACGGUUUUAUCGAAGAAGGAGAAUAUUUUUCGUUCUUAUUCGAACAGUCACUCUAUCGUAUCCGAACGUAUUUCCAUUCUCUCUUCGAGAUAACGGAAGUACAUACGUAAGUAAAGUAUGUAUAUGUCUAUAUGUGCGUACGUAAGUGUCGAUGUAUAUUCUGUCUCUCUCUUUUUCUCUGUGUGUCGCUUUAUCUCUCUUUUUCUCUAUUCAUUUUUGUCCUUUUUUUUUCUUUUUUUUUUUUUUUUUUUUUUUU